RNAcentral lists this ribosomal RNA (492 nucleotides) under uncultured bacterium. RNAcentral describes it as "partial 16S ribosomal RNA". It matches the Rfam family "Bacterial small subunit ribosomal RNA", at positions 29 to 507 of the family's 1533-position model. The record is from RNAcentral.
AGUGAACGCUGGCGGUAGGCCUAACACAUGCAAGUCGAACGGCAGCACAGUAAGAGCUUGCUCUUACGGGUGGCGAGUGGCGGACGGGUGAGGAAUACAUCGGAAUCUACUUUUUCGUGGGGGAUAACGCAGGGAAACUUACGCUAAUACCGCAUACGACCUACGGGUGAAAGCAGGGGAUCUUCGGACCUUGCGCGAUUGAAUGAGCCGAUGUCGGAUUAGCUAGUUGGCGGGGUAAAGGCCCACCAAGGCGACGAUCCGUAGCUGGUCUGAGAGGAUGAUCAGCCACACUGGAACUGAGACACGGUCCAGACUCCUACGGGAGGCAGCAGUGGGGAAUAUUGCACAAUGGGCGCAAGCCUGAUCCAGCCAUACCGCGUGGGUGAAGAAGGCCUUCGGGUUGCAAAGCCCUUUUGUUGGGAAAGAAAGGCAGCAGGUUAAUACCCCGCUGUUCUGACGGUACCCAAAGAAUAAGCACCGGCUAACUUCGUG